UACGUAGGGUGCAAGCGUUAAUCGGAAUUACUGGGCGUAAAGCGUGCGCAGGCGGUUUUGUAAGUCUGACGUGAAAGCCCCGGGCUUAACCUGGGAAUUGCGUUGGAGACUGCAAGGCUUGAAUCUGGCAGAGGGGGGUAGAAUUCCACGUGUAGCAGUGAAAUGCGUAGAGAUCCGGAAGAACACCGGUGGCGAAGGCGGUCUGCUGGGGUAAUGCUGACACUGAUGCGCGACAGCGUGGGGAGCAAACAGG
This 253-nucleotide ribosomal RNA is filed under the name uncultured bacterium. RNAcentral describes it as "partial 16S ribosomal RNA". It matches the Rfam family "Bacterial small subunit ribosomal RNA", at positions 524 to 776 of the family's 1533-position model. The record is from RNAcentral.